UUCUCUCCGAAAUCAGUUGUGCCAUUUACCCCUAAUCGAUUGCCCCACUCCCCUGUUUCCCUGUUUGUACGAUUGCCCCAAGGCACCGCCUCCAACACGCGUCAAGGUGUUUAAUAAACCAAGAGUCCUCGGUCUGGCAACCCGAGCCGCUAAUGAAAGUGAAAGUCGAGACCUCUGUCGUGGAGGGCAUCGACGCCCGGACCUGACGUUCUCUGACGGAUCCGCGGUAGAGCAUGUUUGUUGGGACCCGAAAGAUGGUGAACUAUGCCUGAAUAGGGUGAAGCCAGAGGAAACUCUGGUGGAGGCUCGUAGCGAUUCUGACGUGCAAAUCGAUCGUCAAAUUUGGGUAUAGUGCGAAAGACUAAUCGAGCCAUCCAUCACGUUUUGAUCCUCU
This 394-nucleotide ribosomal RNA is filed under the name Lentinus tigrinus. RNAcentral's name for it is "eukaryotic LSU rRNA". The stretch from base 103 to 394 matches the Rfam family "Eukaryotic large subunit ribosomal RNA", at positions 667 to 961 of the family's 3401-position model. The record is from RNAcentral. Lineage: Eukaryota; Fungi; Basidiomycota; Agaricomycetes; Polyporales; Polyporaceae.